This 484-nucleotide ribosomal RNA is filed under the name uncultured bacterium. RNAcentral's name for it is "partial 16S ribosomal RNA". It matches the Rfam family "Bacterial small subunit ribosomal RNA", at positions 29 to 523 of the family's 1533-position model. The record is from RNAcentral.
AACGAACGCUGGCGGCAUGCCUAACACAUGCAAGUCGAACGGGAUCCUGGCUUCGGUCAGGUGAGAGUGGCGGACGGGUGAGUAACGCGUGGGAACCUGCCCAGUGGUGGGGGAUAACUGCGGGAAACUGCAGCUAAUACCGCAUGAGCCCGAGAGGGGAAAGAUUUAUCGCCAUUGGAGGGGCCCGCGUUCGAUUAGGUAGUUGGUGAGGUAACGGCUCACCAAGCCGACGAUCGAUAGCUGGUCUGAGAGGAUGAUCAGCCACACUGGGACAGAGAUACGGCCGAGACUCCUACGGGAGGCAGCAGUGGGGAAGAUUGGACACUGAGGGCAGCCCUGAUCCAGCCAUGCCGCGUGCGGGAAGAAGGCCUUCGGGUUGUAAACCGCUUUUGUCAGGGAAGAAACGGUCCAAUCUAAUAAAUUGGACUAAUGACGGUACCUGAAGAAUAAGCACCGGCUAACUACGUGCCAGCCGCCGCCGUAA